Molecule: ribosomal RNA, 530 nt
Filed under: Diaporthe masirevicii
Lineage: Eukaryota; Fungi; Ascomycota; Sordariomycetes; Diaporthales; Diaporthaceae
Description: eukaryotic LSU rRNA
Rfam family: 5.8S ribosomal RNA (bases 202-355)
Source: RNAcentral
GUUGGUGAACCAGCGGAAGGAUCAUUGCUGGAACGCGCUUCGGCGCACCCAGAAACCCUUUGUGAACUUAUACCUAUUGUUGCCUCGGCGCAGGCCGGCCUCUUCACUGAGGCCCCCUGGAAACAGGGAGCAGCCCGCCGGCGGCCAACCAAACUCUUGUUUCUACAGUGAAUCUCUGAGUAAAAAACAUAAAUGAAUCAAAACUUUCAACAACGGAUCUCUUGGUUCUGGCAUCGAUGAAGAACGCAGCGAAAUGCGAUAAGUAAUGUGAAUUGCAGAAUUCAGUGAAUCAUCGAAUCUUUGAACGCACAUUGCGCCCUCUGGUAUUCCGGAGGGCAUGCCUGUUCGAGCGUCAUUUCAACCCUCAAGCCUGGCUUGGUGAUGGGGCACUGCCUGUAAUAGGGCAGGCCCUGAAAUCUAGUGGCGAGCUCGCCAGGACCCCGAGCGUAGUAGUUAUAUCUCGCUCUGGAAGGCCCUGGCGGUGCCCUGCCGUUAAACCCCCAACUUCUGAAAAUUUGACCUCGGAUCAG